UACGUAUGGUGCAAGCGUUGUUCGGAAUCACUGGGCAUAAAGAGCACGUAGGCGGUUUGGUAAGUCUGACUGUGAAAUCCCUCGGCUCAACCGAGGAACUGCAUCGGAUACUGCCGAACUCGAGUGCAGUAGGGGAGAGUGGAAUUCCUGGUGGAGCGGUGAAAUGCGUAGAUAUCAGGAGGAACACCGGUGGCGAAAGCGACUCUCUGGACUGUUACUGACGCUGAGGUGCGAAAGCCAGGGGAGCAAACGGG
RNAcentral lists this ribosomal RNA (254 nucleotides) under uncultured bacterium. RNAcentral's name for it is "partial 16S ribosomal RNA". It matches the Rfam family "Bacterial small subunit ribosomal RNA", at positions 524 to 776 of the family's 1533-position model. The record is from RNAcentral.